AUUUAUAUAGUUUAGAAAAAACAUUACAUUUUCACUGUAAAGAUAAAGAAAACUUUUAUAAAUA
RNAcentral lists this transfer RNA (64 nucleotides) under Amitermes sp. 3 TB-2017. RNAcentral describes it as "tRNA-Glu". It matches the Rfam family "tRNA". Rfam says of the family: Transfer RNA (tRNA) molecules are approximately 80 nucleotides in length. Their secondary structure includes four short double-helical elements and three loops (D, anti-codon, and T loops). Further hydrogen bonds mediate the characteristic L-shaped molecular structure. tRNAs have two regions of fundamental functional importance: the anti-codon, which is responsible for specific mRNA codon recognition, and the 3' end, to which the tRNAs corresponding amino acid is attached (by aminoacyl-tRNA synthetases). tRNAs cope with the degeneracy of the genetic code in two manners: having more than one tRNA (with a specific anti-codon) for a particular amino acid; and 'wobble' base-pairing, i.e. permitting non-standard base-pairing at the 3rd anti-codon position. Lineage: Eukaryota; Metazoa; Arthropoda; Insecta; Blattodea; Termitidae. RNAcentral also lists the same sequence under 1 other name. The record is from RNAcentral.